AUAGAUGCGAGGCUGAGGGCCCGCUGACCGCUGUCGGCGCCAGGGGCGGCUUGGCUUGGCUGGAGCUGAGAGACACCCAGACACGCCAUUGUGCAGAGUUGGGUGACACCUUCCUGUGCUAGAAGCAGAAUACAUAAGCUCCAUGGCUGUCAUGGAACGUUUUGGAAUGCAUAAACAGGAGCCCAAGCCACUCUGCUGGGAGACUUCCCUCCAGGAGUUCUGGGUGCAAGAGUGAAGGCGACUCCCCACUGGCUAGAGAGAGGUGAGGCAGCAGAGACCCAGAGGGCAGUGAAAACAGCUCUUGCACACGCUUCCGAUGGGGCAGCCCCACCACGUGACUGCGUGAGAGAAGCAGCAGCCACUGGGCUGCAGAGCCACAGGCCGUGGUCCUGCCACAACUGAGAUACUAACCACCCACCUUGGGUCAGGUCAGGAGACCUCACGGAAAGUGCCGAGCUCUUGCCACUGAGCAGUAAGGGUUAUUGGUACAGAAAACUAGGACCUAGGACCUGUUCACUGGUGGGUUAUAAGUUUAGAAGUUCAUCCAGGAUAUUCUCAAUUCUAAGGCAACGCCCAUCUACCCCACAAACUAAUCUGUAGCCAUAGAGUUCAA
RNAcentral lists this long non-coding RNA (613 nucleotides) under Delphinapterus leucas (beluga whale). Its description in RNAcentral is "lncRNA (ENSDLEG00000001233.1)". Lineage: Eukaryota; Metazoa; Chordata; Mammalia; Artiodactyla; Monodontidae. The record is from RNAcentral.